AGAGUUUGAUCAUGGCUCAGAUUGAACGCUGGCGGCAGGCCUAACACAUGCAAGUCGAGCGGUAGCACAGGAGAGCUUGCUCUCUGGGUGACGAGCGGCGGACGGGUGAGUAAUGUCUGGGAAACUGCCUGAUGGAGGGGGAUAACUACUGGAAACGGUAGCUAAUACCGCAUAACGUCUUCGGACCAAAGUGGGGGACCUUCGGGCCUCACGCCAUCAGAUGUGCCCAGAUGGGAUUAGCUAGUAGGUGGGGUAAUGGCUCACCUAGGCGACGAUCCCUAGCUGGUCUGAGAGGAUGACCAGCCACACUGGAACUGAGACACGGUCCAGACUCCUACGGGAGGCAGCAGUGGGGAAUAUUGCACAAUGGGCGCAAGCCUGAUGCAGCCAUGCCGCGUGUGUGAAGAAGGCCUUCGGGUUGUAAAGCACUUUCAGCGAGGAGGAAGGGUAGUGUGUUAAUAGCACAUUGCAUUGACGUUACUCGCAGAAGAAGCACCGGCUAACUCCGUGCCAGCAGCCGCGGUAAUAC
RNAcentral lists this ribosomal RNA (529 nucleotides) under uncultured bacterium. RNAcentral describes it as "bacterial SSU rRNA". It matches the Rfam family "Bacterial small subunit ribosomal RNA", at positions 8 to 526 of the family's 1533-position model. The record is from RNAcentral.